GCAUAUAAUUAAGGGGAGGAAAAGAAACUAACAAGGAUUCCCUCAGUAAGGGCGACUGAAGCGGGAAAAGCUCACCGUGUGAAUCGACAUUCUAUGUCGAGUUGUGGUCUGUAGAAGUAACAUCUGUCGAGAUUCCGAGCUAAGUCUCUUGGAAAAGAGCAGCUGAGAGGGUGACACUCCCGUUCUUGCUUGGAAUCUACGACAAUAGCAUGUGUCUUCAACGAGUCGAGUUGCUUGGGAUUGCAGCUCAAACGCGUGGUAUACUCCAUGUAAAGCUAAAUAUUGGUAGGAAACCGAUAGCGCACAAGUACAGUGAUGUAAAGAUGAGAAGCACUUUGAAAAGAGAGUUAAAGAGUACCUGAAAUUGCUGAAAGGGAAGCGAAUGGAAACAGUGUGUUUCCGUACCAUUCUUCCUUCACGACUUGUCGUGUGGGCGCUGUGGUGCGGAGUCAGUCAGCAUGGGUUUGAGUCGGGACAUAUAGCCGUUGAGGAGGCAUGCUUCUUUUAGCAGAUUACUCUUUGGUGUUGUCUUGGCUUGGAUCGAGGCUAGCAUUUCGUGAUGCUGACGAAAUGUUUCUAUUCACCCCGUC
This 590-nucleotide ribosomal RNA is filed under the name Chaetoceros curvisetus. RNAcentral describes it as "partial large subunit ribosomal RNA". It matches the Rfam family "Eukaryotic large subunit ribosomal RNA", at positions 38 to 653 of the family's 3401-position model. Lineage: Eukaryota; Bacillariophyta; Thalassiosirophyceae; Chaetocerotales; Chaetocerotaceae. The record is from RNAcentral.